Molecule: long non-coding RNA, 516 nt
Filed under: Homo sapiens (human)
Lineage: Eukaryota; Metazoa; Chordata; Mammalia; Primates; Hominidae
Description: HSALNT0314088
Source: RNAcentral
UGGGAGAGAGGUGUGGGGAUUUGCUGGGAAAGCACAUGAGAAAACUUUCUAGAUGAUGUGUCCUAGAAACAACCACAUGCUGGAGAAUGGAAUUCCAUAAGGUACUCUCUUAGAUAAAGGAAGUGCCAGCCAUCCUGUUGCCAUCUGCUAAAAUCCUCAGCCCACCUGCAUAGUGAACAGCAUUCAUUGUUUUCCAGAAAUGUGCAAGAACCACAGUCUCCCCCAAGACUGAAGAUCUGCUUCAUCGACAUGGCAGGGAACGUGGCUGAACACAGAGGACUCAUUUUUGCAGCUUCCCUACCAGAGAGAGAGAGACACCCUUUUUACCCGAGUUCUGAGUUGAAAUAUCCUAGAAGAGAACUCUGAUUGGCCUGGCUUGGGUCACAUGCCUGUCCUUGAGUUGAUCAACUGUGAUUAGUUAUAAGUGUACUCAUUAGUAACUUCCCCUGGAACCUUAGAUUUGAUGUGGGGUAAGACUUCCAAAAACAAACAAAAAAAUAAAACAGAAGAAUGCUA